UAGGAAGGGGGCUAGCGUUGUUCGGAAUUACUGGGCGUAAAGCGCACGUAGGCGGACUCUUAAGUCAGGGGUGAAAUCCCGGGGCUCAACCUCGGAACUGCCUUUGAUACUGUGAGUCUCGAGACCGGAAGAGGUGAGUGGAAUUCCUAGUGUAGAGGUGAAAUUCGUAGAUAUUAGGAAGAACACCAGUGGCGAAGGCGGCUCCCUGGUCCGGUUCUGACGCUGAGGUGCGACAGCGUGGGGAGCAAACAGG
This 253-nucleotide ribosomal RNA is filed under the name uncultured bacterium. Its description in RNAcentral is "partial 16S ribosomal RNA". It matches the Rfam family "Bacterial small subunit ribosomal RNA", at positions 524 to 776 of the family's 1533-position model. The record is from RNAcentral.